UACGAACUGUGCGAACGUUAUUCGGAUUCACUGGGCUUACAGGGUGCGUAGGCGGCUUGCUAAGUAGGGUGUGAAAGCCCCCGGCUUAACCGGGGAAUGGCGCCCUAAACUGGCGAGCUGGAGUGAGAUAGGGGUGUGCGGAACUUCCGGUGGAGCGGUGAAAUGUGUUGAUAUCGGAAGGAACACCAGUGGCGAAAGCGGCUUCCUGGUCCAGCACCGACAUUCAGGCACGAAAGCGUGGGGAGCAAACAGG
Molecule: ribosomal RNA, 253 nt
Filed under: uncultured bacterium
Lineage: Bacteria
Description: partial 16S ribosomal RNA
Rfam family: Bacterial small subunit ribosomal RNA
Source: RNAcentral